AUUGAACGCUGGCGGCAGGCCUAACACAUGCAAGUCGAACGGUAACAGGAAGCAGCUUGCUGCUUUGCUGACGAGUGGCGGACGGGUGAGUAAUGUCUGGGAAACUGCCCGAUGGAGGGGGAUAACUACUGGAAACGGUAGCUAAUACCGCAUAACGUCGCAAGACCAAAGAGGGGGACCUUAGGGCCUCUUGCCAUCGGAUGUGCCCAGAUGGGAUUAGCUAGUAGGUGGGGUAACGGCUCACCUAGGCGACGAUCCCUAGCUGGUCUGAGAGGAUGACCAGCCACACUGGAACUGAGACACGGUCCAGACUCCUACGGGAGGCAGCAGUGGGGAAUAUUGCACAAUGGGCGCAAGCCUGAUGCAGCCAUGCCGCGUGUAUGAAGGAGGCCUUCGGGUUGUAAAGUACUUUCAGCGGGGAGGAAGGGAGUAAAGUUAAUACCUUUGCUCAUUGACGUUACCCGCAGAAGAAGCACCGGCUAACUCCGUG
RNAcentral lists this ribosomal RNA (490 nucleotides) under uncultured bacterium. RNAcentral describes it as "partial 16S ribosomal RNA". It matches the Rfam family "Bacterial small subunit ribosomal RNA", at positions 30 to 507 of the family's 1533-position model. The record is from RNAcentral.